GGAGACCUUAGGCGGCGGCUCACUGAAGCAGAGACCUUAGGCGGCGGCUCACUGAUAGCUCUCUGGCUUCUGCUCAGAAUAUCUGACAAGAAUCACCUGAAGGGAGCAGCUGUUUACUUUGGAUCUGGUCAAGAGUUUGGUGCCUCCUAGUGAGGAAGGCGGAGUGUCGGGAACAUUGGGACAGCUGAGAUUUCCCCUUCUCCUGAAACCACCAGCCGCAUGGAUUGUGAUUCCACUCACGACCCUCGGGAGUAUGCAAUGCCUGUAUUUCCAGUAAGGUCCCCUUCAGAGAUGCCGGUGGCUGGCGCUACAACACUCAGCCCACACCAGCAGGGACUUAGUCAGUUUGGGCCACUAUCAUAAAGACCAAACGACUCAAGAGGAGCAGAAGUCUGUCCAUGCCUGCGCUGUGGGCUGAGCUCUGCGAUGGGAUCGCAACCAUGGAUGGGUUCUAGCAGGGCCCUCCCCAGGCCUCUGGCCCGGGACCCCGUCACUCAGCUCUCACAGUGGACAGCCAGGAUGAUUGCUUUGGCGUCCCCUCUGUAAGGACACAAAUUGCACUUGAAGGGUUUGUUCUCAUUACCUUUCACCUUCCAAAAUCCUUAUUUCCUAAGGUGAUCGGAGCAGCACUCAAGAUUUCAGAUACAAACAUUCAGAUUUUCAUUCUUCCUGUCUUCCUCAAAGCUAUAUCCUUCUCACACCCAGGAAGCUUCCCCACCCCAGCAGCCCCGAUUGUAUGAACUUACUCCAGAAUCAAUUCUAAAUCUCAAAUCCAAAGUUUUGUCUACUUAUUCAGAUAUGAGUGAGGCUGAACCAGGGGCAGAAUUCGUCUUCAGCUGUGAAUCCCUGGAACCAAACAAAUUAAGCACUUCCCAAAGAACAAGGGAAGGAUGGACAUGGGACACACAUUUCCAUUCCAAAAGACAGAAAAGAAGGAAGAGGUGAUGGGUUCUAAGAAGCUCCAAACCUAUCAAGGCAAAGUGAUGAGAACUUGAGAUGCUUCAAUUCUCAGAGAAUCAAGCUUGGCGGAACAAUGGCAUCACUUUUGCUUUCCUGGUGGUAUUUGGGCUGUAGUUCUCCAUGCAAUGGUUGCUUUCACAGAGGACUCCUGGUACCUUCCCUGCCCUUUGGAGCUGAGGAAGAAGCAUCUCUGGCCCCUGAACCCACGUGCACUGAGCUGGGGUGGGAAAAACCCUGGCAAGCACUCGAGCCUUUCCAGUCCUGGCCGGUCCUGAAGAUUUGCUUGUAGUUAAACCAUGCUCCGGUUUGGUGGUUAAAGUCUGUUGCCCUUUUCUGUUUCCUGUAGUUGUAACUGGCAGUGUUUCUGCUGGUCUGAUCUCAUCUUUUUUUCUAGGCUUUUGUUGAGAUGGUU
Long non-coding RNA from Psammomys obesus (fat sand rat), 1372 nucleotides. RefSeq lists it as uncharacterized. Lineage: Eukaryota; Metazoa; Chordata; Mammalia; Rodentia; Muridae. The record is from RefSeq and is a predicted model, not a curated record. The transcript has 3 exons.